AGAGUUUGAUCCUGGCUCAGAAUCAACGCUGGCGGCGCGCCUAACACAUGCAAGUCGAACGAGAAAGUGGAGCAAUCCAUGAGUAAAGUGGCGUACGGGUGAGUAACACGUGGAUAACCUGCCCUCUAGUGGGGAAUACCGUUGGGAAACCGACGACAAUACCGCAUAAGCUCGAGAGAGGAAAGCAGCAAUGCGCUGGAGGAGGGGUCCGCGGCCGAUUAGCUUGUUGGUAGGGUAAUGGCCUACCAAGGCUUUGAUCGGUAGCCGGCCUGAGAGGGCACACGGCCACACUGGCACUGAAACACGGGCCAGACUCCUACGGGAGGCAGCAGUGGGGAAUCUUGCACAAUGGGGGAAACCCUGAUGCAGCGACGCCGCGUGAGCGAUGAAGCCCUUCGGGGUGUAAAGCUCUUUCGGCAGGGAAGAUUAUGACGGUACCUGCAGAAGCAGCUGCGGCUAACUACGUGCCAGCAGCCGCGGUAAUACGUAGGCAGCAAGCGUUGUUCGGAGUUACUGGGCGUAAAGGGUGCGCAGGCGGUCCUGUAAGUAUGGUGUGAAAUCUCCCGGCUUAACUGGGAGGGUGCGCUAUAAACUGCGGGACUAGAGUGUGGGAGAGGAAAGUGGAAUUCCUGGUGUAGCGGUGAAAUGCGUAGAUAUCAGGAGGAACACCGGUGGUGUAAACGGCUUUCUGGACCAUAACUGACGCUGAGGCACGAAAGCGUGGGUAGCAAACAGGAUUAGAUACCCUAGUAGUCC
This 756-nucleotide ribosomal RNA is filed under the name uncultured bacterium. Its description in RNAcentral is "bacterial SSU rRNA". It matches the Rfam family "Bacterial small subunit ribosomal RNA", at positions 8 to 796 of the family's 1533-position model. The record is from RNAcentral.